Molecule: ribosomal RNA, 497 nt
Filed under: uncultured bacterium
Lineage: Bacteria
Description: partial 16S ribosomal RNA
Rfam family: Bacterial small subunit ribosomal RNA
Source: RNAcentral
GAUGAACGCUGGCGGCGUGCCUAAUACAUGCAAGUCGAGCGAACGGACGAGAAGCUUGCUUCUCUGAUGUUUGCGGCGGACGUGUGUGUAACACGUGUAUACCCUACCUUUAAGACUGGGAUCACUUCGGGAAACCGGCUCUAAUCCCGUAUAAUAUUUUGAACCGCAUGGUUUAAAUGUGAAAUACGGUCUUGCUGUUACUUAUUGAUGCUUCCGCGCUUUAUUAGCUAGUUGGUAAGGUAACGGCUUACGAAGGCAACGAUUCAUAGCCGACCUGAGAGGGGGAUCGGCAACACGGGAACGGAGAAACGGUCAAGACUCCUACGGGAGGAAGAAGUAGGGAAUCUUCGGAAAUGGGCGAAAGCCUGACGGAGAAACGCCGCGUGAGUAAUGAAGGUCUUCGGAUCGAAAGACUCUGUUAAAAGGGAAGAACAGAUGUGUAAGUAACAGUGCACAUCGUGACGGUACCUAAUCAGAAAGCCACGGCUAACUACGUG